Molecule: non-coding RNA, 286 nt
Organism: Poecilia reticulata (guppy)
Lineage: Eukaryota; Metazoa; Chordata; Actinopteri; Cyprinodontiformes; Poeciliidae
Source: RefSeq, a predicted model, not a curated record
AGAAAAGCAGAGCUCAUCUCCGGUUACUCUCCAUCUGCCGCAAGUGAAGACCUCAGUGCGGACACGCUCUCAGGCCUGCAUACAUGCAUUCCUGCGCUGAGAUGAAUGGCGGCCAUUGAUGCGUCUCCCUUUUGAGGCCCGCUGCCAGAGCGAGCGUUGUGCCGAGCAGUUUGGUCGAGUCGUCUCUACCCGUGUUACCCGUGUCUUAUCCGUCGUGCUUGGGUGACCCGUCUCUCCCCGCCAUGACGCGAGGUCGGGACGCCAAGACAGACUGCGAGAACAUAAG